RNAcentral lists this ribosomal RNA (468 nucleotides) under uncultured bacterium. RNAcentral's name for it is "partial 16S ribosomal RNA". It matches the Rfam family "Bacterial small subunit ribosomal RNA", at positions 28 to 507 of the family's 1533-position model. The record is from RNAcentral.
GACGAACGCUGGCGGCGUGCUUAACACAUGCAAGUCGAACGGAAAGGCCCUGCUUUUGUGGGGUGCUCGAGUGGCGAACGGGUGAGUAACACGUGAGUAACCUGCCCUUGACUUUGGGAUAACUUCAGGAAACUGGGGCUAAUACCGGAUAGGAGCUCCUGCUGCAUGGUGGGGGUUGGAAAGUUUCGGCGGUUGGGGAUGGACUCGCGGCUUAUCAGCUUGUUGGUGGGGUAGUGGCUUACCAAGGCUUUGACGGGUAGCCGGCCUGAGAGGGUGACCGGCCUCAUGGGGACUGAGAUACGGCCCAGACGGCUACGGGAGGCAGCAGUGGGGAAUAUUGCACAAUGGGCGGAAGCCUGAUGCAGCAACGCCGCGUGCGGGAUGACGGCCUUCGGGUUGUAAACCGCUUUCGCCUGUGACGAAGCGUGAGUGACGGUAAUGGGUAAAGAAGCACCGGCUAACUACGUG